RNAcentral lists this transfer RNA (87 nucleotides) under bacterium. Its description in RNAcentral is "tRNA-Ser". It matches the Rfam family "tRNA". Rfam says of the family: Transfer RNA (tRNA) molecules are approximately 80 nucleotides in length. Their secondary structure includes four short double-helical elements and three loops (D, anti-codon, and T loops). RNAcentral also lists the same sequence under 2 other names. The record is from RNAcentral.
GGUGGGAUGGCCGAGCGGUUGAAGGCACCUGCCUUGAAAGCAGGCGAAGGCUUACGUCUUCCCGGGGUUCGAAUCCCCGUCCCACCG